RNAcentral lists this ribosomal RNA (232 nucleotides) under uncultured bacterium. RNAcentral describes it as "partial 16S ribosomal RNA". It matches the Rfam family "Bacterial small subunit ribosomal RNA", at positions 99 to 334 of the family's 1533-position model. The record is from RNAcentral.
CGGACGGGUGAGUAAUGUCUGGGAAACUGCCCGAUGGAGGGGGGUAACUACUGGAAACGGUAGCUAAUACCGCAUAACGUCGCAAGACCAAAGAGGGGGACCUUAGGGCCUCUUGCCAUCGGAUGUGCCCAGAUGGGAUUAGCUAGUAGGUGGGGUAACGGCUCACCUAGGCGACGAUCCCUAGCUGGUCUGAGAGGAUGACCAGCCACACUGGAACUGAGACACGGCCCAG